This 272-nucleotide long non-coding RNA is filed under the name Coffea arabica (coffee). Its description in RNAcentral is "long non-coding RNA (CARA_LNC003392)". The record is from RNAcentral. Lineage: Eukaryota; Viridiplantae; Streptophyta; Magnoliopsida; Gentianales; Rubiaceae.
GCGCAGUGGAAGCGUGGACGCUUCGCUUUUGAUAUGUAAAGUUUGGGAACCUUUGAUGUAUAUUUGAUAUAAAUAUCUUGAAAUUCCAUUGAGGAUUGUAGUGAACGACUGAGUCCCGGCGAGAGUUGGGCAGGCGGCCCGCCGAACCCUCUGGUUCGCCUUAGGGGGAGGUGGGGCCGUGACAAUUGGUAUCAGAGCUUAGGCUUCAGAUCUCUGUAGUGUAUCCUAGGCUUGAAGUUUAGGAUGCCGGACCGUGGGUUUGAUUUGACUCU